This 804-nucleotide ribosomal RNA is filed under the name Gloeophyllum trabeum. RNAcentral describes it as "eukaryotic LSU rRNA". The stretch from base 253 to 406 matches the Rfam family "5.8S ribosomal RNA". Lineage: Eukaryota; Fungi; Basidiomycota; Agaricomycetes; Gloeophyllales; Gloeophyllaceae. The record is from RNAcentral.
CUUGGUCAUUUAGAGGAAGUAAAAGUCGUAACAAGGUUUCCGUAGGUGAACCUGCCGGAGGAUCAUUAACGAGUAAACAGGGGAGUUGUAGCUGGCCGCAAGGCAUGUGCACGCUCCCUACUCAAUCCCACCUUACACCUGUGCAUCUAUUGUAGGUCGGGUGGCUUGGCUCCAUGUCAGGCUGUCCUUCCUAUGUCUACACAUACACUUUAUAGUUUCAGAAUGUAAACUGCGUAUAACGCAUCUAUAAACAACUUUCAACAACGGAUCUCUUGGCUCUCGCAUCGAUGAAGAACGCAGCGAAAUGCGAUAAGUAAUGUGAAUUGCAGAAUUCAGUGAAUCAUCGAAUCUUUGAACGCACCUUGCACUCCUUGGUAUUCCGAGGAGUAUGCCUGUUUGAGUGUCAUGAAUAUCUCAACUCACCCGGUUUUUGUAAAUUGUGGUGGGCUUGGACUUGGAGGUAUGCUGGCUUUACUAGUCGGCUCCUCUUUAAAUGUAUUAGCUGGACCCGUUACGGAUCAGUACUCGGUGUGAUAAUUGUCUACGCCGUGUCUGUGAAGUGCCUUAGUGGAUCAGCUGCUAAUCGUCUUCGGACAAUUUGACAUUUUGACCUCAAAUCAGGUAGGAUUACCCGCUGAACUUAAGCAUAUCAAUAAGCGGAGGAAAAGAAACUAACAAGGAUUCCCCUAGGUAACUGCGAGUGAAGCGGGAAGAGCUCAAAUUUAAAAUCUGGCGGUCUUUGGCCGUCCGAGUUGUAUUCUGGAGAAGUGCUUUCCGCGCUGGACCGUGUACAAGUCUCCUAAA